AUCCUUCGCGUACAAAAUUCUUCGGGGCAUUCCCCGGUGAGUAAAUACAAAUUACCUCGGGGCAUUCCCCGGUUAAAUAAAUACACUUUCCAAAUACGAUAAACAAGACAUUCAACAAAUAUUCCAAUCAUUCCAACACUACACCGAUCCUAAACUUGCCUACCCGAGCUUAUUGUUUGCUUACCCGCUCGACGACAUAUCGCAUUCAACACCAACAAUGUAUCAAACUAUCAUAAUAUUCAUUUUUAUCAAUUUUUCGAUUCC
RNAcentral lists this long non-coding RNA (264 nucleotides) under Capsicum annuum. Its description in RNAcentral is "long non-coding RNA (CANN_LNC007646)". The record is from RNAcentral. Lineage: Eukaryota; Viridiplantae; Streptophyta; Magnoliopsida; Solanales; Solanaceae.